GGGGACGAAUUAUGGUUUCGACUGCAAGUGUAGACGUAUAGCUGCAUGUCGAGUGCGCUGUCAUCUCGUAAAACGUGGCAGAAAAAAUUUAACUGCAAACAAUAAUUUUGCACUAGCAGCCUAAGAACUGCUACGUCUCUAAGAUAUUCGCUCCUCUGGAAUACUUAGAGGCGUCAAAUACAGAGGAUAGCCCGAUAUUCAACUCCCGGAGUGGCGGGUGAAACAACAGGGGGCGAGACUUUCAAUGACGGUUCCUGUUCCUGGCCUGAAAGUUGGAAAUAAAUGAGCAGGAUAAACAUGUAGACGCUGUAUGGCUAUUUUGUAGGACGCGGGUUCGACUCCCGCCGUCUCCACAG
This 356-nucleotide transfer-messenger RNA is filed under the name Spirochaetota. RNAcentral's name for it is "PGXY01 sp002839375 Standard tmRNA". It matches the Rfam family "transfer-messenger RNA". Rfam says of the family: Bacterial tmRNA, also known as 10Sa RNA or SsrA, is named for its dual tRNA and mRNA-like properties. RNAcentral also lists the same sequence under 1 other name. The record is from RNAcentral. Lineage: Bacteria; Pseudomonadati.